Molecule: transfer RNA, 96 nt
Organism: Pseudogymnoascus pannorum
Lineage: Eukaryota; Fungi; Ascomycota; Leotiomycetes; Thelebolales; Thelebolaceae
Rfam family: tRNA
About the family: Transfer RNA (tRNA) molecules are approximately 80 nucleotides in length. Their secondary structure includes four short double-helical elements and three loops (D, anti-codon, and T loops).
Source: Rfam
GCCUGGGUAGCUCAAUCGGUAGAGCGUGUGACUCUUACUUCCUUUCAAAGGCUAUAGAUCAUCUCAAGGUCGUGGGUUCGAGCCCCACCUCGGGCU